RNAcentral lists this ribosomal RNA (253 nucleotides) under uncultured bacterium. RNAcentral's name for it is "partial 16S ribosomal RNA". It matches the Rfam family "Bacterial small subunit ribosomal RNA", at positions 524 to 776 of the family's 1533-position model. The record is from RNAcentral.
UACGGAGGGUGCAAACGUUGCUCGGAAUCAUUGGGCGUAAAGCGCACGUAGGCGGACUGUUAAGUCGGAUGUGAAAGCCCUCAGCUUAACUGAGGAAGUGCAUUCGAAACUGGCAGUCUUGAGUAUGGAAGAGGGUCGCGGAAUUCCCGGUGUAGAGGUGAAAUUCGUAGAUAUCGGGAGGAACACCAGUGGCGAAGGCAGCCCCCUGGGAUGUGACUGACGCUCAUGUACGAAAGCGUGGGGAGCAAACAGG